UGCCAGCCGCCGCGGUAAUACGGAGGGGGCUAGCGUUGUUCGGAAUCACUGGGCGUAAAGCGCGCGUAGGCGGGCUGGUCAGUUGAGGGUGAAAUCCCGGGGCUUAACCUCGGAACUGCCUUCAAUACUUCCAGUCUUGAGUUCGAGAGAGGUGAGUGGAAUUCCUAGCGUAGAGGUGAAAUUCGUAGAUAUUAGGAAGAACACCAGUGGCGAAGGCGGCUCACUGGCUCGAUACUGACGCUGAGGUGCGAAAGCGUGGGGAGCGAACAGGAUUAGAUA
RNAcentral lists this ribosomal RNA (279 nucleotides) under uncultured bacterium. Its description in RNAcentral is "partial 16S ribosomal RNA". It matches the Rfam family "Bacterial small subunit ribosomal RNA", at positions 506 to 784 of the family's 1533-position model. The record is from RNAcentral.